CGCGUGUACUGGUCCGGCCGGGCCUUUCCCUCUGUGGAACCCCAUGCCCUUCACUGGGUGUGGCGGGGAAACAGGACUUUUACUUUGAAAAAAUUAGAGUGCUCCAGGCAGGCCUAUGCUCGAAUACAUUAGCAUGGAAUAAUAAAAUAGGACGUGCGGUUCUAUUUUGUUGGUUUCUAGGACCGCCGUAAUGAUUAAUAGGGACAGUCGGGGGCAUCAGUAUUCAAUUGUCAGAGGUGAAAUUCUUGGAUUUAUUGAAGACUAACUACUGCGAAAGCAUUUGCCAAGGAUGUUUUCAUUAAUCAGGAACGAAAGUUAGGGGAUCGAAGACGAUCAGAUACCGUCGUAGUCUUAACCAUAAACUAUGCCGACUAGGGAUCGGACGAUGUUAUUUUUUGACUCGUUCGGCACCUUACGAGAAAUCAAAGUGCUUGGGCUCCAGGGGGAGUAUGGUCGCAAGGCUGAAACUUAAAGAAAUUGACGGAAGGGCACCACCAGGGGUGGAGCCUGCGGCUUAAUUUGACUCAACACGGGGAAACUCACCAGGUCCAGACACAAUGAGGAUUGACAGAUUGAGAGCUCUUUCUUGAUUUUGUGGGUGGUGGUGCAUGGCCGUUCUUAGUUGGUGGAGUGAUUUGUCUGCUUAAUUGCGAUAACGAACGAGACCUUAACCUGCUAAAUAGCCCGUAUUGCUUUGGCAGUACGCCGGCUUCUUAGAGGGACUAUCGG
RNAcentral lists this ribosomal RNA (729 nucleotides) under uncultured eukaryote. RNAcentral describes it as "SSU rRNA". It matches the Rfam family "Eukaryotic small subunit ribosomal RNA", at positions 670 to 1426 of the family's 1831-position model. The record is from RNAcentral.